This is a long non-coding RNA of Salvia splendens (bonfire salvia), 548 nucleotides long. RefSeq lists it as uncharacterized. Lineage: Eukaryota; Viridiplantae; Streptophyta; Magnoliopsida; Lamiales; Lamiaceae. The transcript has 3 exons. The record is from RefSeq and is a predicted model, not a curated record.
GUGUCUUGUGGAUAGAAAUUAGGGAGAAAAAUUAGGAAUAAGAAUAUAGAAUUAAAAACAAAAAUUGAUCCUCAUCCUUCUCCUCUUUCUUUUUGCUCUCUCUCGACGUCUCUUUCCUCUCUCUGUAAUCUUCACAACAGCCUUCUCUCUCCCUCCGAUCAGCCACCAUCUCCGAUCACUCCACCACGGAACAUGUAACACACUCCACUAAUUCAAGCUCUCAAUUCCCCAUCUUCUUCUCAAUUUCGGAGCUUAGGUUGCAAACCCACCUCCACUUAUUUUUGGAAAAUAAUUGAAAUUAGAGGUGAACCGAGUGCAAGCACAAGCGAUAAGGGAAAGGGGCACCUCCAUGGUUGAAUAAGCAAGUAAUAGCGGGUUUUUUUUUACGUGUACAGAGUAUAGAAGCGAGUGAACUCGCUAGUUGGCAGCAGCACGUGUUAAGUCACUACCCUCCCUUUUUGCUGGUAAAGUUGGAGUUCUCACGUGGCAUGCUUAGGCUAACUUUUGGUUGUUUGUAGUUAGUUGGAAAUGUAAGGUUAUAACCUUCU